UACGAAGGGGGCUAGCGUUGCUCGGAAUUACUGGGCGUAAAGGGCUCGUAGGCGGCCAACUAAGUCAGACGUGAAAUCCCUCGGCUUAACCGGGGAACUGCGUCUGAUACUGGAUGGCUUGAGUUUGGGAGAGGGAUGCGGAAUUCCAGGUGUAGCGGUGAAAUGCGUAGAUAUCUGGAGGAACACCGGUGGCGAAGGCGGCAUCCUGGACCAACACUGACGCUGAGUGAGCGAAAGCCAGGGAGCAAACGGG
RNAcentral lists this ribosomal RNA (253 nucleotides) under uncultured bacterium. RNAcentral's name for it is "partial 16S ribosomal RNA". It matches the Rfam family "Bacterial small subunit ribosomal RNA", at positions 524 to 776 of the family's 1533-position model. The record is from RNAcentral.